RNAcentral lists this transfer RNA (69 nucleotides) under Ictidomys tridecemlineatus (thirteen-lined ground squirrel). Its description in RNAcentral is "Spermophilus tridecemlineatus (thirteen-lined ground squirrel) tRNA". It matches the Rfam family "tRNA". From Rfam's summary of the family: Transfer RNA (tRNA) molecules are approximately 80 nucleotides in length. Lineage: Eukaryota; Metazoa; Chordata; Mammalia; Rodentia; Sciuridae. The record is from Rfam by way of RNAcentral.
GGGGUUGUAGCUCAGCGGUAGAGCACUUGCUUUGCAUGUGCGAGGCCCUGGGUUCAGUCCCCAGCACCA